GACGAACGCUGGCGGCGUGCUUAACACAUGCAAGUCGAACGGAAAGGCCCUGCUUUUGUGGGGUGCUCGAGUGGCGAACGGGUGAGUAACACGUGAGUAACCUGCCCUUGACUUUGGGAUAACUUCAGGAAACUGGGGCUAAUACCGGAUAGGAUCUCCUGCUGCAUGGUGGGGGUGGGAAAGGUUCGGCGGUUGGGGAUGGACUCGCGGCUUAUCAGCUUGUUGGUGGGGUAGUGGCUUACCAAGGCUUUGACGGGUAGCCGGCCUGAGAGGGUGACCGGCCACAUUGGGACUGAGAUACGGCCCAGACUCCUACGGGAGGCAGCAGUGGGGAAUAUUGCACAAUGGGCGGAAGCCUGAUGCAGCAACGCCGCGUGCGGGAUGACGGCCUUCGGGUUGUAAACCGCUUUCGCCUGUGACGAAGCGUGAGUGACGGUAAUGGGUAAAGAAGCACCGGCUAACUACGUG
RNAcentral lists this ribosomal RNA (468 nucleotides) under uncultured bacterium. RNAcentral's name for it is "partial 16S ribosomal RNA". It matches the Rfam family "Bacterial small subunit ribosomal RNA", at positions 28 to 507 of the family's 1533-position model. The record is from RNAcentral.